GCGGGGCGGGCGGGGUCUGAGCGUCUGGAGGAAGCUAGAGCUUCGGUGCAGGCCGCCUGCGCGCUGUGCCAGGAAGGCGCUUGGAGAAAAUGUCCGGCCCUGCGACCUGGGACAGGAAAUGAUGGAGCAGGGACUUAGUUUGCCUUUCAGUUCUUGUAUAAGAAGUUUUGAGGGUUGUCUCUGAAUUUUCACCCAGUUGUCUACCAAGAUGUUGAAUGGACCCAGAGCCAAGGACGUGUUCUUUUAUCAGUGGCACCUGAGACUUUCUUCCCUGUGGACGCAAAUCCAUUAUUCAGCACUCUGGGCACAGCUACAGAUCUGAUCAGCUAUCCAUUCUCCAAACUAUCUCAUCCUCUGUCCCAUUUGUCUGUCCCUCUUGUCCACAAGGCAUAUACCUGAGAGUUUUCAAAUUCCUCAAAGAAAUUUAGAUAUUCUGUGGCGUUGGCAUUCACCUAAUGUGUUAAUCUACAAACCUUUUCUACAAUGUAGGUUUUUUUUUCAUGAUGUGAAUUCAAGUGGUUUC
This 523-nucleotide non-coding RNA is filed under the name Pongo abelii (Sumatran orangutan). Lineage: Eukaryota; Metazoa; Chordata; Mammalia; Primates; Hominidae. The record is from RNAcentral.